This is a non-coding RNA of Paramuricea clavata, 671 nucleotides long. Lineage: Eukaryota; Metazoa; Cnidaria; Anthozoa; Malacalcyonacea; Plexauridae. The record is from the annotation of a GenBank genome assembly.
CAUUGUCUUAUUUAUAAUUAAAAGCAUGGGCGUACCGGAAGGAAAAAAUUAGGGGGGCGGAAAGAAAAUUGCCCGACUUUUCGUAAAAUUGCCCGACUUUUCGUGAUUUUGCCCGACUAGUACCAAAAAAUUUUUCCCGGAAAAUUUUUUUUGGCGACCCCCCCCCCGUCGCCAAAAAAAUUUCGGUCAGUGUACCAUUUUAGGGGUCAAAAAAAUUUUCCGGACGUACCAAAUUUUUCGCAGAAUCACAUUAAUUUUCCCAAAAAAUACAUUUGCCCCAAAAUUGACUAAAUUUUUGAAAAAAAUUACAGAAUUUGUCCGAUUUUUUUUUAUAACAACCCAAAAUUGCCCGACUAUUAAUCGAAUAUUGCCCGACUGCCCAAAAAACUGGGGGGGCGGCCGCCCCCCCCGCCCCCCCGCCCGGUACGCCUAUGAUUAAAAGGUUACUUGUAUCUAUAAAUUUUCCGCCAUAUUAAAAAUACUGAAAUCUGCUAGGCGUUCUGAAGCACCUUGAGCGGUGACGUCACACCAAGGUCCUAGUCUCGUACUACCUCCAUUUUUUUCUCGCGCUUGCUUCAGAACGACUGGGACUAGGCUGGUAUAGAUGCAUGAAUCUUAAAAUAAAGUAUAAACGUGCUGACGUCUUGACAAACAAUAGCAGUUUAUGAUUC